CGAAUGGGUCCAAAAGACUCUUAAAAAACCUACCGCGCCCCCCUACGUGGAAAAACAGGAAAGCCCUCCGGGGCAUAGGAAAAUCUGAGAAGUUGAGAAACUGCGCCCCGGCGCAUGACUAAAAACAAAAAAAUUA
Molecule: unclassified non-coding RNA, 136 nt
Filed under: soil metagenome
Description: partial internal transcribed spacer 1
Source: RNAcentral